AACGGCAGCACGGGAGCUUGCUCCUGGUGGCGAGUGGCGAACGGGUGAGUAAUAUAUCGGAACGUGCCCUAGAGUGGGGGAUAACUAGUCGAAAGAUUAGCUAAUACCGCAUACGAUCUACGGAUGAAAGUGGGGGAUCGCAAGACCUCAUGCUCGUGGAGCGGCCGAUAUCUGAUUAGCUAGUUGGUGAGGUAAAGGCUCACCAAGGCAUCGAUCAGUAGCUGGUCUGAGAGGACGACCAGCCACACUGGGACUGAGACACGGCCCAGACUCCUACGGGAGGCAGCAGUGGGGAAUUUUGGACAAUGGGGGCAACCCUGAUCCAGCAAUGCCGCGUGAGUGAAGAAGGCCUUCGGGUUGUAAAGCUCUUUUGUCAGGGAAGAAACGGUGAGGGCUAAUAUCCUUUGCUAAUGACGGUACCUGAAGAAUAAGCACCGGCUAACUACGUGCCAGCAGCCGCGGUAAUACGUAGGGUGCAAGCGUUAAUCGGAAUUACUGGGCGUAAAGCGUGCGCAGGCGGUUAUGCAAGACAGAUGUGAAAUCCCCGGGCUCAACCUGGGAAUUGCAUUUGUGACUGUAUGGCUA
RNAcentral lists this ribosomal RNA (585 nucleotides) under uncultured beta proteobacterium. RNAcentral describes it as "bacterial SSU rRNA". It matches the Rfam family "Bacterial small subunit ribosomal RNA", at positions 65 to 643 of the family's 1533-position model. Lineage: Bacteria; Pseudomonadati; Pseudomonadota; Betaproteobacteria. The record is from RNAcentral.